Molecule: ribosomal RNA, 460 nt
Filed under: Lysinibacillus alkaliphilus
Lineage: Bacteria; Bacillati; Bacillota; Bacilli; Caryophanales; Bacillaceae
Description: bacterial SSU rRNA
Rfam family: Bacterial small subunit ribosomal RNA
Source: RNAcentral
AACACGUGGGCAACCUGCCCUAUAGUUUGGGAUAACUCCGGGAAACCGGGGCUAAUACCGAAUAAUACAUUUUAUCUCCUGAUGAGAUGUUGAAAGAUGGUUUCGGCUAUCGCUAUAGGAUGGGCCCGCGGCGCAUUAGCUAGUAGGUGAGGUAACGGCUCACCUAGGCGACGAUGCGUAGCCGACCUGAGAGGGUGAUCGGCCACACUGGGACUGAGACACGGCCCAGACUCCUACGGGAGGCAGCAGUAGGGAAUCUUCCACAAUGGGCGAAAGCCUGAUGGAGCAACGCCGCGUGAGUGAAGAAGGUUUUCGGAUCGUAAAACUCUGUUGUAAGGGAAGAACAAGUGCAGUAGUAACUGGCUGCACCUUGACGGUACCUUAUUAGAAAGCCACGGCUAACUACGUGCCAGCAGCCGCGGUAAUACGUAGGUGGCAAGCGUUGUCCGGAAUUAUUGGG